AUUCCCUGGUUGAUCCUGCCAGUAGUGAUAUGCUCGUCUCAAAGAUUAAGCCAUGCAAGUCUAUGUACAAGCCAAAUUAAGGUGAAACCGCGAAUGGCUCAUUAAAUCAGUUAUGGUUCCUUAGAUGUUUUCCAGUUACAUGGAUAACUGUGGUAAUUCUAGAGCUAAUACAUGCAAUCAAAGUCCGGACUAAAGUACGGACGCUUUUAUUAGAUCAAAACCAAUCGGUCUUUCGGGACUGUUUUGUCUUUUGGUGACUCUGAAUAAACCAAAGUUGAUCGCACGGUCUCCGCACCGGCGACGCAUCUUUCGAAUUUCUGCCUUAUCAACUGUCGAUGGUAGAUUCUUUGCCUACCAUGGUUGUAACGGGUAACGGGGAAUCAGGGUUCGAUUCCGGAGAGGGAGCCUGAGAAACAGCUACCACAUCCAAGGAAGGCAGCAGGCACGCAAAUUACCCACUCCCGGCUCGGGGAGGUAGUGACGAAAAAUAACGAUACGGGACUCAUCCGAGGCCCCGUAAUCGGAAUGAGAACACUUUAAAUCCUUUAUCGAGGAUCUAUUGGAGGGAAAGUCUGGUGCCAGCAGCCGCGGUAAUUCCAGCUCCAAUAGCGUAUAUUAAAGUUGUUGCGGUUAAAAAGCUCGUAGUCGGACUUGUGUCCGACGCUGUCGGUUCACCGCUCGUCGGUGUCUAACUGGCAUGCUUUGUUGGGACGUAUUGCCGGUGGUCCGAGCCCGUGCGGUUCCGCCGUCGCGGUUCGAGUCGUUUCCCCGAGCCUCACGGCGAAGGGUUCGCUCACGCGGCGGCACCGUGCGUGGGGUAGGACCUGUUUUAACCCAUUGCGGUGCUCUUCACCGAGUGUCACAGUGGGCCGGCACGUUUACUUUGAACAAAUUAGAGUGCUUAAAGCAGGCAGCAGCCGCCUGAAUACUUUUGUGCAUGGAAUAAUGAAAUAGGAUCUUGGUUCUAUUUUGUUGGUUUUCUGAAUGCCCGAGAUAAUGAUCAAUAGGGACGGACGGGGGCAUUCGUAUUGCGACGUUAGAGGUGAAAUUCUUGGAUCGUCGCAAGACGAGCCGAAGCGAAAGCGUUUGCCAAGAACGUUUUCACUGAUCAAGAACGAAAGUUAGAGGUUCGAAGGCGAUCAGAUACCGCCCUAGUUCUAACCAUAAACGAUGUCAGCCAGCGAUCCGUCGAAGUUCCUCCGAUGACUUGACGGGCAGCUUCUGGGAAACCAAAGCUUUUUGGUUCCGGGGGAAGUAUGGUUGCAAAGCUGAAACUUAAAGUAAUUGACGGAAGGGCACCACCAGGAGUGGAGCCUGCGGUUCAAUUUGACUCAACACGGGCAAUCUCACCAGGCCCAGACACUGGAAGGAUUGACAGAUUGAGAGCUCUUUCUUGAUUCAGUGGGUGGUGGUGCAUGGCCGUUUUUAGUUGGUGGAGUGAUUUGUCUGCUUAAUUGCGAUAACGAACGAGACUCUAGCCUGCUAACUAGUCGUUCAAACAUCCUUCGUGCUGUUUGCGACAUAAAAUCUUCUUAGAGGGACAGGCGGCUUCUAGUCGCAUGAGAAUGAGCAAAAACAGGUCUGUGAUGCCCUUAGAUGUUCUGGGCCGCACGCGCGCUACACUGAAGGAAUCAACGUGUUUUCCCUGUCCGAGAGGACCGGGUAACCCGCUGAAUCUCCUUCGUGCUAGGGAUUGGGGCUUGCAAUUAUUCCCCAUGAACGAGGAAUUCCCAGUAAGCGCGAGUCAUUAGCUCGUGUUGAUUACGUCCCUGCCCUUUGUACACACCGCCCGUCGCUACUACCGAUUGAAUGAUUUAGUGAGGUCUUCGGACCGGGGGUAGCGGGGGAUAACCACGCUUCCUCUGGGAAGAUGUCCGAACUUGAUUAUUUAGAGGAAGUAAAAGUCGUAACAAGGUUUCCGUCGGUGAACCAGCGGAAGGAUCAUU
Molecule: ribosomal RNA, 1946 nt
Filed under: Symplocodes ridleyi
Lineage: Eukaryota; Metazoa; Arthropoda; Insecta; Blattodea; Blattellidae
Description: SSU rRNA
Rfam family: Eukaryotic small subunit ribosomal RNA
Source: RNAcentral